CCUGUUCCUAGAGGCAUUGCAGAUGUGGCUGCUGUGUCAAAAGUGUGUCAGUAGGUGGCAGAGAGGAGAGAGCCUAUCUACACUCAGCUCAAUGUUCUGAAUAAUGAACAUCUGAAUGAGUGUUAGCCUAACUCU
Molecule: small nucleolar RNA, 135 nt
Organism: Psammomys obesus (fat sand rat)
Lineage: Eukaryota; Metazoa; Chordata; Mammalia; Rodentia; Muridae
Product: small nucleolar RNA SNORA17
Exons: 1
Source: RefSeq, a predicted model, not a curated record